UUGUAAUACCCACUAUCUUAGAAAUAAAAUUAUAUCUAUGUUUAUUAAAUGUGGUCAACAAGUCAAAGCUUAUUCAAGUUUAAUAUUGGAUAAAAUUACUAAAUUGCCCUUCAUUACCCUUAAAGGUUAAGAAACCACUUUGGUCUUUGGAUAAACAUCUCUUUUGAAAGAAGAUAAGAUGAGUGGACUAGAGAGAUAGAGGAAAAGAAACAUCUUGAAGCUUUGAUCUUCAUCUUCUUCAAGCUUAGGUCUCAAGUUAUUGGAGUAUUCUAGGAAAUUUGACAAGGAGUAUUUGGGUGAGCUAAAUAGUUAAGAUUUGGGUGUUUCAGAAUAGCUAAGGACAUGUGAAUAGCACGAAC
Molecule: long non-coding RNA, 359 nt
Organism: Ipomoea nil (Japanese morning glory)
Lineage: Eukaryota; Viridiplantae; Streptophyta; Magnoliopsida; Solanales; Convolvulaceae
Exons: 3
Source: RefSeq, a predicted model, not a curated record